CAUUAUAAUGAUGAGAAAACUUUUCAAUAUUUUACAGUUAUCCCUGUCUGAAUGGGUGUAAAAUGGUAAAAUCUCAUAUGUCGAUAACAUUUACUCUGAUAUUUUG
This 106-nucleotide small nucleolar RNA is filed under the name Vanderwaltozyma polyspora DSM 70294. RNAcentral's name for it is "Small nucleolar RNA R38". It matches the Rfam family "Small nucleolar RNA R38". Rfam says of the family: snoR38 is a C/D box small nucleolar RNA conserved across yeast, human, Arabidopsis and rice. Lineage: Eukaryota; Fungi; Ascomycota; Saccharomycetes; Saccharomycetales; Saccharomycetaceae. The record is from Rfam by way of RNAcentral.